ACGAACGCUGGCGGCGUGCCUAAUACAUGCAAGUCGAACGAGUGACCCCUCGGUGGCAACACCUUGGGUGAUCUAGUGGCGAACGGGUGAGUAACACGUGAGGAACCUGCCCCGAAGACCGGGAUAACCAGAGGAAACCCUGGCUAAUACCGGAUGCCCCCACCGGACCGCAUGAUCUGGUGAGGAAAUGGAUUCCGCUUCGGGAGGGCCUCGCGGCCUAUCAGCUUGUUGGUGGGGUAACGGCCCACCAAGGCGUCGACGGGUAGCUGGUCUGAGAGGACGAUCAGCCACACUGGGACUGAGACACGGCCCAGACUCCUACGGGAGGCAGCAGUAGGGAAUCUUGCGCAAUGGGCGAAAGCCUGACGCAGCAACGCCGCGUGCGGGAUGAAGGCCUUCGGGUUGUAAACCGCUUUCAGCAGGGACGAAAAUGACGGUACCUGCAGAAGAAGCCCCGGCCAACUACGUGCCAGCAGCCGCCGUAACAC
Molecule: ribosomal RNA, 488 nt
Filed under: uncultured bacterium
Lineage: Bacteria
Description: bacterial SSU rRNA
Rfam family: Bacterial small subunit ribosomal RNA
Source: RNAcentral